CAACUUUCAACAACGGAUCUCUUGGCUCUCGCAUCGAUGAAGAACGCAGCGAAAUGCGAUAAGUAAUGUGAAUUGCAGAAUUCAGUGAAUCAUCGAAUCUUUGAACGCACCUUGCGCCCUUUGGUAUUCCGAAGGGCAUGCCUGUUUGAGUGUC
This 154-nucleotide ribosomal RNA is filed under the name Fulvifomes fastuosus. Its description in RNAcentral is "5.8S ribosomal RNA". It matches the Rfam family "5.8S ribosomal RNA". From Rfam's summary of the family: 5.8S ribosomal RNA (5.8S rRNA) is a component of the large subunit of the eukaryotic ribosome. It is transcribed by RNA polymerase I as part of the 45S precursor that also contains 18S and 28S rRNA. Functionally, it is thought that 5.8S rRNA may be involved in ribosome translocation. The record is from RNAcentral. Lineage: Eukaryota; Fungi; Basidiomycota; Agaricomycetes; Hymenochaetales; Hymenochaetaceae.